UAUUUAAAAGAAAAAACUACUUUUAUCUCUCUUUUAAUUAUUGUUUGAUUCCUUUGUAACACUUUUAACUUUGGUAAGAAAAGUACUGUACAUAUUAUAUUGAAAUUAUAAAUUAUAUUUUUGUGGUAAUAAUGCAGAGUUUUCACUUGAAUUUAGAGCAUGUAAUUGUUUUUUAAGAAAUAUUUUUACAUGUUAAAGUGAUUAUGUUCUGAAAAUAACUAAUAUCAGUUUUUCUGUUUUCCAUUACAGCCCCUAAACCAUGGCGCCGUAUCAUUAUCACCAUUGUCUCUGUCACUGUGGUUUUGGUGAUAAUUGCCAUAGCAGCUUUUGUUCAACAUCGAAAAAAAGGAAAAUAUGAAAGUGUGGACAUGAAAAAAACAGUGUACACAAAUGUUCAGUUCAAAAUCGUGAACACCACUUCUGGAUCAGAAUCCAACCGAUGAUGCUGCAGCUCCUUCUCCGUCCUCCAUUUACAGCGUGAUCGAAGCAGGUCCAUGAAAUCCACUGAGGCCGGAGACACGACUCAGCCUGAGAGCCUGUAUGCUCAGGUGGACAAGUCGGCCCUGGCCUGAAGAAAAUCUGAAAUUGUCUUCCACAUUCUGCCUUUUGGACAAUUUCCAGUAUUAUUGUUGCCGUGAGUCAUGUUAUAUAUUUUCUGGGAAGUUUUUU
Molecule: long non-coding RNA, 669 nt
Organism: Hippoglossus stenolepis (Pacific halibut)
Lineage: Eukaryota; Metazoa; Chordata; Actinopteri; Pleuronectiformes; Pleuronectidae
Exons: 4
Source: RefSeq, a predicted model, not a curated record